GUUUACGGCCAUACCAGCCUGGGUACGCCCGAUCUCGUCUGAUCUCGGAAGCUAAGCAGGGUCGGGCCUGGUUAGUACUUGGAUGGGAGACCGCCUGGGAAUACCAGGUGCUGUAAGGU
This 119-nucleotide ribosomal RNA is filed under the name Salmo trutta (river trout). The record is from RNAcentral. Lineage: Eukaryota; Metazoa; Chordata; Actinopteri; Salmoniformes; Salmonidae.